Molecule: non-coding RNA, 115 nt
Organism: Triticum aestivum (bread wheat)
Lineage: Eukaryota; Viridiplantae; Streptophyta; Magnoliopsida; Poales; Poaceae
Source: Rfam
GUAGUACUCCCUCCGUUUGGAAUUACUUGUCGCAGAAAUGGAUGUAUCUAGACGUAUUUUAUUUCUAGAUACAUUCAUAUCCAAGACAAGUAAUUACGAACGGAGGGAGUAUAUG